GCUGGUGUGGCGCAACGGUAGCGCAACUGACUUGUAAUCAGUAGGUUGGGGGUUCAAGUCCUCUCACCAGCU
This is a transfer RNA of 72 nucleotides. It matches the Rfam family "tRNA". Rfam says of the family: Transfer RNA (tRNA) molecules are approximately 80 nucleotides in length. Their secondary structure includes four short double-helical elements and three loops (D, anti-codon, and T loops). Further hydrogen bonds mediate the characteristic L-shaped molecular structure. tRNAs have two regions of fundamental functional importance: the anti-codon, which is responsible for specific mRNA codon recognition, and the 3' end, to which the tRNAs corresponding amino acid is attached (by aminoacyl-tRNA synthetases). tRNAs cope with the degeneracy of the genetic code in two manners: having more than one tRNA (with a specific anti-codon) for a particular amino acid; and 'wobble' base-pairing, i.e. permitting non-standard base-pairing at the 3rd anti-codon position. The record is from Rfam.